GAACCAUGAUGAGGGCAUUGUCUUUGUAGACUCUUGAAUAUGUCCCAUGCUUCAAAUAAUGAUUCUCCAUACGCCUGAGCAAAAUUUAUGAUGCAAUUUCUCAUAUA
Zingiber officinale is the source of this 107-nucleotide small nucleolar RNA. NCBI's taxonomy places the organism in Eukaryota, Viridiplantae, Streptophyta, Magnoliopsida, Zingiberales, Zingiberaceae. The record is from RefSeq and is a predicted model, not a curated record.